Microcebus murinus (gray mouse lemur) is the source of this 836-nucleotide non-coding RNA. NCBI's taxonomy places the organism in Eukaryota, Metazoa, Chordata, Mammalia, Primates, Cheirogaleidae. The record is from RefSeq and is a predicted model, not a curated record.
UUUAUUUUUAGGAUUUUGAUCUUUUGGGAUUUCAGCAUUUGGGAUUAUGGCUUUCAGGAAUGUGUCACUCAGGAUUAUGGUUGUCUCCCAUUCUGGAGAAAACGCCAACAUCUGGGGAGGAGACACACAACAAACAAAAUAAAUACAUGAGAUGUAAGCGGCAUCUGGUGGCAGGCGCUAUGGAGAAAACCGAAACAGGAUGGGGCGCAGGAGUUCUGGGUGAGGGAGGAUGAGCAAUGGCUGUGACUAGUUUCCAGAGAAGGCUGCGCUUAGACGCUGCGAAGCAAGGAGGCAGCCGAAAGAGGAGAUGGAGCGAAUCGUGCCAGCAUCUAGGAGACUGGGCAGGCCAGGUGGCGGCAACAGCAAGGCAAAGACCCUGCGCCCGGAGUCAGGCUGGGACAUGAUACUUUUUUAGAGGAACAAAUCAUACCAUGAGGUGUUGGGAACAUUUUUGUCAGGAACUAUUAGAAGUCAUUUGCAUUGUGGGAGCCUUCUGGGGUUGAAGAAUGAAAGAGGGUGUUUACCCAGAAGCUGUCUGGUUUCGGGACAAAAGCCAAGUGGCGUUUUUUAAUAUCAGGGAAAGUUUGCCUCUCCUUGUUUAUUACACAAACAAAAAGCUUGUUUAAACAGGUUCUUAGAGGAUCGUUUUUGCCAAGUGAUUGUUCUAUGUGGCAUACUGAGUUUGUUGUAGAUCUUUUAAACAGGGCAAAGACUGUGACUCUAGCUCGUGGUUGAACACUCUUGAACCGUGAUCACUGUGCUUAGAGAAACUGGUGUGAAGUGGGAAAUAUACCAGAGUUGGGGUCAUGCUUUGAUUUUGCUCUUUAUAAGUUGUG